UGGGGUGUCGCCAAGCGGUAAGGCACAGGACUUUGACUCCUGUAUGCGUAGGUUCGAAUCCUGCCACCCCAGCCA
This 75-nucleotide transfer RNA is filed under the name Candidatus Onthenecus intestinigallinarum. Its description in RNAcentral is "tRNA-Gln". It matches the Rfam family "tRNA". From Rfam's summary of the family: Transfer RNA (tRNA) molecules are approximately 80 nucleotides in length. Their secondary structure includes four short double-helical elements and three loops (D, anti-codon, and T loops). The record is from RNAcentral. Lineage: Bacteria; Bacillati; Bacillota; Clostridia; Eubacteriales.